AUGAACGCCGGUGCUUGUUCCCGGCGACUUCAAGCAUCUCCAUCCAUGCCCUUGCGCCAGAAGGUUCCCCUCGAUGCGAUGAAUCCAUUCAGGAAAGAAGGAACGCAUUCAGUUGACCACACGCGAAGAAUUUCACAUGUGCGUGUACACUAUUCGUCAAGUUCACCACAUCGUUCUGUCCAACUCGGGAGUGACGACGAUGUUGGACAUGGACAGAAACAAGUUACCGAAGAGGGACUCAACAACGAAGAGUUCCAUGAAGACGACGGUGAUGACUACGACUACUAUGGCGAUCUGCAAGAGUGA
Molecule: ribosomal RNA, 306 nt
Filed under: Triticum aestivum (bread wheat)
Lineage: Eukaryota; Viridiplantae; Streptophyta; Magnoliopsida; Poales; Poaceae
Description: partial small subunit ribosomal RNA
Source: RNAcentral